GUAGGUGGCAAGCGUUGUCCGGAAUUAUUGGGCGUAAAGCGCGCCCAGGCGGUUCUUUAAGUCUGAUGUGAAAGCCCACGGCUCAACCGUGGAGGGUCAUUGGAAACUGGAGAACUUGAGUACAGAAGAGGAAAGCGGAAUUCCACGUGUAGCGGUGAAAUGCGUAGAGAUGUGGAGGAACACCAGUGGCGAAGGCGGCUUUCUGGUCUGUAACUGACGCUGAGGCGCGAAGGCGUGGGGAGCAAACAGGGAUUAGAUACCCUGGUAGUCCACGCCGUAAACGAUGAGUGCUAAGUGUUAGGGGGUCUCGCCCCCCUUAGUGCUGCAGCUAACGCAUUAAGCACUCCGCCUGGGAUACGGCCGCAAGGCUG
RNAcentral lists this ribosomal RNA (371 nucleotides) under uncultured organism. RNAcentral's name for it is "partial 16S ribosomal RNA". It matches the Rfam family "Bacterial small subunit ribosomal RNA", at positions 527 to 896 of the family's 1533-position model. The record is from RNAcentral.